RNAcentral lists this ribosomal RNA (845 nucleotides) under uncultured bacterium. Its description in RNAcentral is "bacterial SSU rRNA". It matches the Rfam family "Bacterial small subunit ribosomal RNA", at positions 60 to 918 of the family's 1533-position model. The record is from RNAcentral.
AGUCGAACGAGAGAUGAGGAGCUUGCUCUUCAAAUCGAGUGGCGAACGGGUGAGUAACGCGUGAGGAACCUGCCUCAAAGAGGGGGACAACAGUUGGAAACGACUGCUAAUACCGCAUAAGCCCACAGCUCGGCAUCGAGCAGAGGGAAAAGGAGUAAUCCGCUUUGAGAUGGCCUCGCGUCCGAUUAGCUAGUUGGUGAGGUAAUGGCCCACCAAGGCGACGAUCGGUAGCCGGACUGAGAGGUUGAACGGCCACAUUGGGACUGAGACACGGCCCAGACUCCUAUGGGAGGCAGCAGUGGGGAAUAUUGCACAAUGGGGGAAACCCUGAUGCAGCGACGCCGCGUGGAGGAAGAAGGUCUUCGGAUUGUAAACUCCUGUUGUUGAGGAAGAUAAUGACGGUACUCAACAAGGAAGUGACGGCUAACUACGUGCCAGCAGCCGCGGUAAAACGUAGGUCACAAGCGUUGUCCGGAAUUACUGGGUGUAAAGGGAGCGCAGGCGGGAGAACAAGUUGGAAGUGAAAUCCAUGGGCUCAACCCAUGAACUGCUUUCAAAACUGUUUUUCUUGAGUAGUGCAGAGGUAGGCGGAAUUCCCGGUGUAGCGGUGGAAUGCGUAGAUAUCGGGAGGAACACCAGUGGCGAAGGCGGCCUACUGGGCACCAACUGACGCUGAGGCUCGAAAGUGUGGGUAGCAAACAGGAUUAGAUACCCUGGUAGUCCACACCGUAAACGAUGAUUACUAGGUGUUGGAGGAUUGACCCCUUCAGUGCCGCAGUUAACACAAUAAGUAAUCCACCUGGGGAGUACGACCGCAAGGUUGAAACUCAAAGGAAUUGACGGGG